CUAUGCGCCUUGCCAGCCCGCUCAGUCAGAGUUUGAUCCUGGCUCAGAACGAACGCUGGCGGCGCGCUUAACACAUGCAAGUCGAACGAGAAGGCGUAGCAAUACGCUUGUAAAGUGGCGAACGGGUGAGGAAUACAUGGGUAACCUACCCUCGAGUGGGGGAUAACCCGCCGAAAGGCGAGCUAAUACCGCGUACGCUUCCGAUCUUGCGGGAUUGGAAGGAAAGCUGUCCCAAGGGGAUGGCGCUCAAGGAUGGGCUCAUGUCCUAUCAGCUUGUUGGUAGGGUAACGGCCUACCAAGGCAUCGACGGGUAGCUGGUCUGAGAGGACGAUCAGCCACACUGGCACUGCGACACGGGCCAG
RNAcentral lists this ribosomal RNA (362 nucleotides) under uncultured bacterium. RNAcentral describes it as "bacterial SSU rRNA". It matches the Rfam family "Bacterial small subunit ribosomal RNA", at positions 1 to 334 of the family's 1533-position model. The record is from RNAcentral.